AGAGUUUGAUCCUGGCUUAGAAUGAACGCUGGCGGCGUGCUUCAGGCAUGCAAGUUGAACGAGAAAGAUACUUUCGGGUGUUGAGUAGAGUGGCGCACGGGUGAGUAAGACUUAGGUAACGUACCUUUUUUGCUGGGGAUAACUUGGGGAAACUUGAGCUAAUACCGAAUGAGCCUUAAUUGUUUGCGGACGAUUAAGGGAAAGUCGCAAGACGCGAAGAGAUCGGCCUGAGAACCAUUAGCUAGUUGGUGUGGUAAAGGCAUACCAAGGCGAUGAUGGUUAGCUGGUCUAAGAGGAUGAUCAGCCACACUGGUACUGGAACACGGACCAGACUCCUACGGGAGGCAGCAGCUGGGAAUUUUUGCGCAAUGGGGUAGGACCCUGAACCGCAGCAACGCCGCGUGGGCGAGGAAGGCCUUCGGGUUGUAAAGCCCUUUUAGUGGGAAAGAAGAAGAUGACGGUACCCGCAGAAGAAGCACCGGCUAACUCCGUGCCAGCAGCUGC
RNAcentral lists this ribosomal RNA (504 nucleotides) under uncultured bacterium. RNAcentral describes it as "bacterial SSU rRNA". It matches the Rfam family "Bacterial small subunit ribosomal RNA", at positions 8 to 518 of the family's 1533-position model. The record is from RNAcentral.